This 1139-nucleotide ribosomal RNA is filed under the name metagenome. RNAcentral describes it as "bacterial SSU rRNA". It matches the Rfam family "Bacterial small subunit ribosomal RNA", at positions 8 to 1121 of the family's 1533-position model. The record is from RNAcentral.
AGAGUUUGAUUCUGGCUCAGAACGAACGCUGGCGGCGUGGAUAAGACAUGCAAGUCGAACGAGACUUUUCGUUGUAGCAAUACGAUGGAAAGUUUAGUGGCGAACGGGUGCUUAACACGUGGGCAACCUGCCAUGAAGUGGGGGAUAGCUCGCCGAAAGGCGAAUUAAUACCGCAUGUGAUUAGAAAGGACAUCCUUUCGAAAUUAAAGUCGGGGCAACCUGACGCUUCUUGUGGGGCCCGCGGCCUAUCAGCUAGUUGGUGAGGUAACGGCUCACCAAGGCUUUGACGGGUAGCUGGUCUGAGAGGACGACCAGCCACACUGGGACUGAGACACGGCCCAGACACCUACGGGUGGCAGCAGUCGAGAAUUUUUGACAAUGGGGGAAACCCUGAUCGAGCGACGCCGCGUGGAGGAUGAAGGUCUUCGGAUUGUAAACUCCUGUCAUUGGGGAACAAGGUGCAUACGUUAACUGCGUGUGCAUUGAUAGUACCCGAAGAGGAAGAGACGGCUAACUCUGUGCCAGCAGCCGCGGUAAUACAGAGGUCUCAAGCGUUGUUCGGAUUCAUUGGGCGUAAAGGGUGCGUAGGCGGCGCGGUAAGUCGGGUGUGAAAUCUCGGAGCUUAACUCCGAAACUGCAUUCGAUACUGCCGUGCUUGAGGACUGGAGAGGAGACUGGAAUUUACGGUGUAGCGGUGAAAUGCGUAGAUAUCGUAAGGAAGACCAGUGGCGAAGGCGGGUCUCUGGACAGUUCCUGACGCUGAGGCACGAAGGUCAGGGGAGCAAACGGGAUUAGAUACCCCGGUAGUCCUGACAGUAAACGGUGCACGUUUGGUGUGGGAGGAUUCGACCCCUUCUGCGCCGGAGCUAACGCGUUAAACGUGCCGCCUGGGGAGUACGGUCGCAAGAUUAAAACUCAAAGAAAUUGACGGGGGCCCGCACAAGCGGUGGAGUAUGUGGCUCAAUUCGAUGCAACGCGAAGAACCUUACCAGGCCUUGACAUGCAUCUCUAAGUUGGUGAAAGCCAGCGAGUCCCGAAAGGGACAAUUUGCACAGGUGCUGCAUGGCUGUCGUCAGCUCGUGUCGUGAGAUGUUGGGUUAAGUCCCGCAACGAGCGCAACCCCUGUGAACUGUUGCCAC